GCAUCGGUUGUGCAAUGGUUAGCAUACGCUCCAUGAAAGAGUGAGAUCUGGGUUUGAAUCCCAGCUGACGCA
Molecule: non-coding RNA, 72 nt
Organism: Parelaphostrongylus tenuis
Lineage: Eukaryota; Metazoa; Nematoda; Chromadorea; Rhabditida; Metastrongylidae
Source: the annotation of a GenBank genome assembly